AUUCAUCUUACUGUUUAGCCAGUUCAUGGAGUCACUGAUGUACUUUUCAACCUUUUCCAUUUCAGCAGGAUCCAGGUGAUCAUAUCUUUCAUCCUAUUAAAAAUUAAUAAAAUGGUAAAAGAAAAAGAAGUAACUGAAUUUUGACUCUAAAGCGUCCAAGCUACCUGUAUCACAACAUCUCAAACUUUCACAACAGCUGAGAAGAGGCCUUCUGUGAUCAGAAUUCUUACUUCUGAAAUAAUUAAGUUGCAUAUUGGGAAAACGUAUCCGCACAGAGGACAUAUCCAACUGACACCAGCGCUUCCUGUGACUCCCGACUACCAUCAUUUACUCUCAUCUGUUUAAUCCGACAACCCGACUGAGCAUUCCAUCUCCUCCUCCUCUUCCUCCUUCGCAUUUUUUUUCUUGUUUUUUGAGAUGGAAUUUCUCUGUGUAUUAAGUCCUGGCUAUCUAGGACUCACUUGCAGACCAGGCUGGCCUAGAACUCAGAGAGAUCUGGCUGUUUCUACAGACCUCCCGAGAGCUGGGAUUAAAGGUAUGUGCCACCAUGCCCUGCCCAAGCAUCCAGAUUUUUCUAAUAUUCGAAUUGAGACAAUAGUAUUCAUAAUUCAUAGGUAUUAAAUGGCCUGGUGAGAACAAUGGGAAACCACGCAGUCACAGUCUUAAGAUUUACUAAGACUUGGAGACUCUAAGCUUCUGGGAUGAUGCCAUGCCUCAAAGAUUCUGGUGCUGCUCUCUCACGCAUAUGAAUGCAGUGUUAACAUCAAUGACCAAAUCAGGCUGAUAACAAAUAAAGUUAACCUCAUGGGACAAGUUCAACAAGAUGGUCUUAUUUCUCUUGAGUUUUCUGGAACAGAUCUGUAUCUAUUGGUAUGCUGCAAUACAACAGAAGCAAUGAAGACAGGAGAGACUGUAAGCACCAGUAAUCUCUUCUGGGCUCUGUUCAGAUGCGUGACUAGCCACUUUCUGUUUUAUCCAAAGGACACAUAACAUAUAUUACCCUGCCUGAAGCUUUAAAACAGUGCGGAAUGGAGAGAGUUUUGGGUGUGUAGGAAGAAUAAAAGGAGAUUAUGAAUGGUGAAUGAUAGAUGGAAGAUCAACAACAAAUCAGCUUUGAAAGAAGCAAGAUACAGUUUGGCAGUUAAGAAUCAAGAAAGAUCUUUUUCUCAUGUAAGAAACACAAAAAUGAAAACAGUGGAUUUUGCCAUUGGAUUAAACUUAAGCUAUGACUCUAGGGAAUUCUAAAUGGUGAAAGCUUCGUCUUUUAAAUGUCCUGGAAUCGUCUACUGGUAAUUCUUCACUGAAAAGCUUUUGAUAUGCUCAGUCUGAAGUGGUAACACUGCUGCGCUGGAGUUGAGGAUGUCUGUAGUCACCAUAUGUUAGCAGUAGCGGCCAUCACAACCCCAGUACCUUGUUUCUGUGUGCUUCUAUCACUUUCAGGACAAGCUGAAUCUUUUUCCCCAAGUCA
Apodemus sylvaticus (European woodmouse) is the source of this 1468-nucleotide long non-coding RNA. RefSeq lists it as uncharacterized. The record is from RefSeq and is a predicted model, not a curated record. The transcript has 3 exons. Lineage: Eukaryota; Metazoa; Chordata; Mammalia; Rodentia; Muridae.